This 253-nucleotide ribosomal RNA is filed under the name uncultured bacterium. Its description in RNAcentral is "partial 16S ribosomal RNA". It matches the Rfam family "Bacterial small subunit ribosomal RNA", at positions 524 to 776 of the family's 1533-position model. The record is from RNAcentral.
UACGUAGGGGGCAAGCGUUAUCCGGAUUUACUGGGUGUAAAGGGGGCGCAGACGGCGAUGCAAGCCAGGAGUGAAAGCCCGGGGCCCAACCCCGGGACUGCUCUUGGAACUGCGUGGCUGGAGUGCAGGAGGGGCAGGCGGAAUUCCUGGUGUAGCGGUGAAAUGCAUAGAUAUCACGCAGAACCCCGAUUGCGAAGGCAGCAUGCCGGCUUCCUACUGACGCUGAAGCACGAAAGCGUGGGGAUCGAACAGG